UUCCGGUUGAUCCUGCCGGACCCGACUGCUAUCAGAGUGAGAUUAAGCCAUGCGAGUUAACGUAGCAAUACGUGGCGCACGGCUCAGUAACACGUAGUCAACAUGCCCAGAGGACGUGGAUAACCUCGGGAAACUGAGUCUAAACCGCGAUAAGUGAGGAUUUCUGGAAUGGUUCCUGACUAAAAUCUAUAUAGCCUCUGGAUUGGACUGCGGCCGAUCAGGCUGUUGGUGAGGUAAUGGCCCACCAAACCUGUAACCGGUACGGGCUCUGAGAGGAGGAGCCCGGAGAUGGGCACUGAGGCAAGGGCCCAGGCCCUAUGGGGCGCAGCAGGCGCGAAACCUCUGCAAUAGGCGAAAGCUUGACAGGGUUACUCUGAGUGAUUUCCGCUAAGGGAAUCUUUUGGCACCUCUAAAAAUGGUGCAGAAUAAGGGGUGGGCAAGUCUGGUGUCAGCCGCCGCGGUAAUACCAGCACCCCGAGUGGUCGGGACGAUUAUUGGGCCUAAAGCAUCCGUAGCCGGUCCUGCAAGUCUUCCGUUAAAUCCAGCUGCUCAACAGAUGGGCUGCGGGAGAUACUACAGGGCUAGGAGGCGGGAGAGGCAAGCGGUACUUUAUGGGUAGGGGUAAAAUCCGCUGAUCCAUAGAAGACCACCAGUGGCGAAGGCGGCUUGCCAGAACGCGCUCGACGGUGAGGGAUGAAAGCUGGGGGAGCAAACCGGAUUAGAUACCCGGGUAGUCCCAG
Molecule: ribosomal RNA, 740 nt
Filed under: uncultured archaeon
Lineage: Archaea
Description: bacterial SSU rRNA
Rfam family: Archaeal small subunit ribosomal RNA
Source: RNAcentral